CAGCAUGUUCCCAGACUCUCUGGUUGCUUGUGGCCAAGGGAUCUCCAACUGCAUACGAGAGCAACCUGGAGAGACUUUGACAGCCCAGGUCAGCAGAGCACCUGCAGCUGCCACUCGACUUUCCUGUAAUG
Dasypus novemcinctus (nine-banded armadillo) is the source of this 131-nucleotide small nucleolar RNA. The record is from Ensembl. Lineage: Eukaryota; Metazoa; Chordata; Mammalia; Cingulata; Dasypodidae.